UACGUAGGAGGCAAGCGUUGUCCGGAAUCAUUGGGCGUAAAGAGCGUGUAGGCCGCUCGGUAAGUCCGCUGUGAAAGCCCGGGGCUCAACCCCGGGAUGCCGGUGGAUACUGCCGGGCUAGAGUCCGGAAGAGGCGAGUGGAAUUCCUGGUGUAGCGGUGAAAUGCGCAGAUAUCAGGAGGAACACCAAUUGCGAAGGCAGCUCGCUGGGACGGUACUGACGCUGAGGCGCGACAGCGUGGGGAGCAAACAGG
RNAcentral lists this ribosomal RNA (253 nucleotides) under uncultured bacterium. RNAcentral describes it as "partial 16S ribosomal RNA". It matches the Rfam family "Bacterial small subunit ribosomal RNA", at positions 524 to 776 of the family's 1533-position model. The record is from RNAcentral.